Molecule: ribosomal RNA, 459 nt
Filed under: uncultured bacterium
Lineage: Bacteria
Description: partial 16S ribosomal RNA
Rfam family: Bacterial small subunit ribosomal RNA
Source: RNAcentral
CCUACGGGUGGCAGCAGUGAGGAAUAUUGGUCAAUGGCCGCAAGGCUGAACCAGCCAUGCCGCGUGAAGGUCAAUGCCCUAUGGGCGUUUAACUUCUUUUGUGCGGGAGCAAUAAUGGUCACGUGUGGCCUGACUAGAGUACCGUACGAAUAAGCAUCCGCUAACUCCCUGCCAGCAGCCGCGGUAAUACGGGGGAUGCAAGCGUUAUCCGGGUUUAUUGGGUUUAAAGGGAGCGUAGAUGGGUUGUUAAGUCAGUUGUGAAAGUUUGCGGCUCAACCGUAAAAUUGCAAUUGAUACUGGCAGUCUUGAGUACAGUGGAGGUAGGCGGAAUUCGUGGUGUAGCGGUGAAAUGCUUAGAUAUCACGAAGAACCCCGAUUGCGAAGGCAGCUUACUAAACUGUGACUGACAUUGAUGCUCGAAAGUGUGGGUAUCAAACAGGAUUAGAUACCCUUGUAGUC